Molecule: ribosomal RNA, 174 nt
Filed under: Bacillus anthracis (anthrax bacterium)
Lineage: Bacteria; Bacillati; Bacillota; Bacilli; Caryophanales; Bacillaceae
Also listed under: 1 other name
Description: partial 23S ribosomal RNA
Rfam family: Bacterial large subunit ribosomal RNA
Source: RNAcentral
CGGAAGGGAUAAGUGCUGAAAGCAUCUAAGCAUGAAGCCCCCCUCAAGAUGAGAUUUCCCAUAGCGUAAGCUAGUAAGAUCCCUGAAAGAUGAUCAGGUUGAUAGGUUCGAGGUGGAAGCAUGGUGACAUGUGGAGCUGACGAAUACUAAUAGAUCGAGGACUUAACCAUAUAA